GGGGAUGCAAGGCAUAGACAGAUGGAAUGUUUGAAGUGUUGCAUGCCGAGAAUGAAUACAACCUCGCUAAACUGUAUUCAAAUGUUAAUUGCAAAAUUAACUGCUAAAGCAAAGGUAUCUCCUUACUUCGGUAAGGCAGAUUUCGCCUUCGCUCCAGCAUUCGCGUAAGCGUAAGCUGGUGUCUUUCUUAUAGACUUCCGAUAUAUAAGAACAGGCAUAAUAUUAUCGGGAUAAGGAAUUAUUUGCUCACAUAAUUCAUGAAAAUCAAGAGCUCGAUUAGAAAAUAUUUUGUUCGCUUAAUAAUUUUCUAAUUUAAAACACUAAGCGCACUACGCAUGUAGAUUGCCCUUUAGAUACCCUUCUGCACACGAGUUCAAUUCUCGUCAUCUCCACAA
RNAcentral lists this transfer-messenger RNA (395 nucleotides) under Minisyncoccota bacterium. It matches the Rfam family "transfer-messenger RNA". Rfam says of the family: Bacterial tmRNA, also known as 10Sa RNA or SsrA, is named for its dual tRNA and mRNA-like properties. Its role is to liberate the mRNA from a stalled ribosome. The record is from RNAcentral. RNAcentral also lists the same sequence under 1 other name. Lineage: Bacteria; Bacillati; Minisyncoccota.